RNAcentral lists this microRNA precursor (201 nucleotides) under Oryza barthii. RNAcentral's name for it is "MIR812 microRNA precursor family". It matches the Rfam family "MIR812 microRNA precursor family". Lineage: Eukaryota; Viridiplantae; Streptophyta; Magnoliopsida; Poales; Poaceae. The record is from Rfam by way of RNAcentral.
AAUGUAUGACGCCGUUGACUUUUUUAUCAACGUUUGACCAUUCGUCUUAUUCAAAAAAUUUAUAUAAUUAUCAUUUAUUUUAUUGUGACUUAAUUUAUCAUCAAAUAUUCUUUAAGCAUGACAUAAAUAUUUUUAUAUUUGUACAAAAAAUUUAAAUAAGACGAAUGAUCAAACGUUAAAAAGUCAACGGUGUCAUACAUU